GUUUCCAUGGCAACUCUGACAUCACCAGGCUCAGCGUCUGCAUGGCCAGGCCCUGAAUGGAGACGCCUGGGAGUUCACGCUGCAGCCCCAGGGAGGAGGGCGGCCUGCUGGAGUGGGCCUUCCCCGGUCCCAGGCCCCAUGCAGAUCCGGGUUCAAAGCCCAGCCCUGCCCCUGACUUGCCAGGUGACUCUGAGGAAAUCAGGGGCCUGAGACUCAGUCUCCUCAUCUAUGAAAUAGAGCUAACAGUAUCUCCUCUGCAGUGAGGGUGAAACGAAAUCGUGGAUGAUAGACAGGCUGAUAACUGGAGGAGGCGGUGUGUGUAGCUGGAGAACUUUGCUCUUUUGCUGUCAGUGUCCCACCUCAGCUCUCACCUCCCUGUCACAUUGUUCCACCUUGCUGUCAGCCAUCAGUCACCGGAGAGUUUUGGGCUCCUCUGACUUCAAAGGAUGCAGCUGCCCGGAGGGAAAAGAUGUAGCUUUCUUUUUGGGUUCAGACACCUUGCUAAUUGCUGGGAGGUGGGAAAGUGAGGGCAGAAGAAAGGAUCUUCCACCGGAGCAAGAGUUAAGGAAACCAAGGAGCCUGGCACUGCCCAUCGGCCGAGCUGGGCCUAUUCUUGCCCCUGUUCUGAAGCUUUUAGGCCUGAGCCAACAAGCGGCUGCUUCAGGAUAAAUUAAGACCUUCAUUAUAAGACUCUUGGGCUGCAAUCUCUCUCAGACCUCUGGAUACCUGAGAAACCCUUCUCCCCUGCUUGGGAAAAUACCAUUACAUCUUCCAGGAGAAGCUCAUUUAGCUGUUUUCAUGCUCUCACCCUUCAGAAGGCACCUACCGGUAGCAUCCCAGAAGGUUUUAAGCAAGUCCACCGAUGAUAGAGCCCCGGACCAUCAAAAGUUUGACUGUGGGGCACUGUUUACAAUAGCCAAGACGUGGAAGCAACCUAAGUGUCCAGCAACAGACGAAUGGAUAAAGAAGAUGUGGUACAUAUAUACAAUGGAAUACUACUCAGCUCUAAAACAGAACAAAAUCAUUCCAUUUGCAAUAACAUGGAUGGACCUUGAGAGAAUUAUGUUGAGUGAAAUAAGCCAGCGAGAGAAGGAUAAUCUGUGUAUGACUCCACUCAUAUGAGGAAUUUAAAAUUAUGGACUAAGAACAGUUUAGUGGAUGCCAGGGGAG
This 1170-nucleotide long non-coding RNA is filed under the name Equus caballus (horse). RNAcentral describes it as "lncRNA (ENSECAG00000053369.1)". Lineage: Eukaryota; Metazoa; Chordata; Mammalia; Perissodactyla; Equidae. The record is from RNAcentral.